GACGAACGCUGGCGGCGUGCUUAACACAUGCAAGUCGAACGGAAAGGCCCUGCUUGCAGGGUGCUCGAGUGGCGAACGGGUGAGUAACACGUGGGUGAUCUGCCCUGCACUUCGGGAUAAGCCUGGGAAACUGGGUCUAAUACCGGAUAGGAGCCAUUUUUAGUGUGAUGGUUGGAAAGUUUUUUCGGUGUAGGAUGAGCUCGCGGCCUAUCAGCUUGUUGGUGGGGUAAUGGCCUACCAAGGCGGCGACGGGUAGCCGGCCUGAGAGGGUGGACGGCCACAUUGGGACUGAGAUACGGCCCAGACUCCUACGGGAGGCAGCAGGGGGGAAUAUUGCACAAUGGGCGCAAGCCUGAUGCAGCGACGCCGCGUGGGGGAUGACGGCCUUCGGGUUGUAAACUCCUUUCGCUAGGGACGAAGCUUUUUGUGACGGUACCUAGAUAAGAAGCACCGGCUAACUACGUG
Molecule: ribosomal RNA, 465 nt
Filed under: uncultured bacterium
Lineage: Bacteria
Description: partial 16S ribosomal RNA
Rfam family: Bacterial small subunit ribosomal RNA
Source: RNAcentral